UGAUGAGAUGGUGCUGUGUGCUGCUCUCCUUCAUCUCUCCAGCAAACACAAUGUACUGACUCUAAAACAGUUACUUGGAUGGAGGAGGAGAAGCAGUGGCUAUGGCAAACUUGGAAUAGGAGAAGGUGGGUCCUAGUCUGGGCCCAGCGACCUCUAACUCUGUGAUGACCCUGGAUUUUCAGACCCAAGUGACUUGCCCAUGGCCACAGAAGAACUGGUGGCAGAUCUGCUUCCUAUCUGUAGCUCUUUCCACUGCUCACAUGGCCACUUGUGUUCAGCAGCUGGUGACUAGACCAGCUCUCAGUUGGCAGCAGCAUAGCAAAUACAGACUCCUGUGGACAUCUAGUAAUGCUGUGAUAUGGAUGAUUGAGCCCACUCUGUGCUAUGCACAUUACCUACAUCAGCUCAGUAAUUUUAAAAUUCAAAGCCUAUGACAGGUGUGUUUUCCUAGGUUCAAUAUAAAUAUGUGGGAAGUAGAGCUGAGAGGGUGAUUUGCCUGAAGUCACAGGUUUAAAAUUUGACAAGACAUCCAGGACUAGCAUCAAAGACCCUUAAGUUCAAGUCAUUCAUCAAGGGGGACUGCCUUUGGUUUCUGCUCUUGGCUCAAACUAACUGAGAUAUUAGUACUUCUACAGCCUCCCCAUCUACCUGCCUCCAGAUAUAGCCGAACCCAAGGUGCAGAAUCUAUUCACCUAACCAUUGCACCAUACUGCCCUGCUAGGGAGGAGUAUGUUGGGCCAUGGACUCUGACUCAGAAUUAUGGAAAUAUUCCAUAAAGAUAGUUUUUUAAUAAUCUCAGCAUUCCUGAUUAGAAAACCAGUUGGCCAACAGGGCACCCUUCUAGGGAGCCGUGGCUGUCCUUGGUACACUGGGAAAGGGUCCUGGAGACAAAGCCCAGUUCUCCUCUAUGCCCUCCAGCUUCUGAGAAAGGGUUUCUUCUCCUUCUGCAGUGUUUAUAGGCAGGCUAUACACUGGAUCUGGCCAGUGGGUGACCUCCCUCACAGUGAGAGUUUGUCUAGAAGCCUCCAAAGAGGGAAAAAAAAGAAACCUUUGUAAUCACUCUCGGGCUCCAGCUGCUAAAGCAGACAAGAAAGCAGCCCCAAGAUCCUGGAAACUCUUGCCCAAAGGAGA
RNAcentral lists this long non-coding RNA (1131 nucleotides) under Homo sapiens (human). RNAcentral describes it as "HSALNT0362268". The record is from RNAcentral. Lineage: Eukaryota; Metazoa; Chordata; Mammalia; Primates; Hominidae.